This is a long non-coding RNA of Bos taurus (domestic cattle), 722 nucleotides long. NCBI's taxonomy places the organism in Eukaryota, Metazoa, Chordata, Mammalia, Artiodactyla, Bovidae. The record is from Ensembl.
AUCCUACUCUGGCCUAUUUUGCAGAGCUGAUAAGAAGCAAAUGAGAUACUGGAUAUGAGACGCCAGGCCUGUGGGAGGCAAACAUUCGUCAAACUCUUUCAUGGUACUCUGAGCAACACAAUCUCAAAUCAGAUUCUUCGGUACAUCAUGGUGCACCUCCCAAGUGAUGCUGAUAGUCAUGGUCAAGACCUUCUAAACUGGAUCAUCGUUACUGUUACGGUUGGAAUUGAGUAAGAGAGAGACACCGUUGAGUCUAGAAGAGUCACCUCUUUCCUCUGUUGGACAAAGGUGGACCCUGACUCCCCCGUUCCACGUGAAACUAACCAUAAAUCCCAGAAUGUCACAAGAAGGAUCUUAGAGAACCGCUAGUGCAGCUCCCUCAGUUUACAGCCUCUGCCCAAUUUUCCCCUGGACUCAAAGGGGCAACGCUGUGGGACCAAUUUUGCCUUUAUUCCUGCCUUCCCUGUGAUGGAGUCCUUGACAGAAGGAUGUCUCCAGCCUGGCAUCCAAGCACCGACAGGUCAUUCUUCUUGGCCUUACCACUGCCACAUUUCUCCCUACAGGCAGUAUUUGCUGCCUCGAGCAGAUACGCUGCUGGUGGAAUUACCACGUGCACACAGAAACUAGAGAGUAGCCCCAGCUCUCUGGAACUAGAAAAAAGCCCUUGGAGGAUAUAAAGCCUCAAAAGAAGCCUACGCACCUAUGGUCAAUUAAUCCAUGAC